This 500-nucleotide ribosomal RNA is filed under the name uncultured bacterium. RNAcentral's name for it is "partial 16S ribosomal RNA". It matches the Rfam family "Bacterial small subunit ribosomal RNA", at positions 30 to 523 of the family's 1533-position model. The record is from RNAcentral.
AUUGAACGCUGGCGGCAGGCCUAACACAUGCAAGUCGAGCGGAUGAGGGGUGCUUGCACUCCGAUUCAGCGGCGGACGGGUGAGUAAUGCCUAGGAAUCUGCCUGGUAGUGGGGGACAACGUUUCGAAAGGAACGCUAAUACCGCAUACGUCCUACGGGAGAAAGUGGGGGAUCUUCGGACCUCACGCUAUCAGAUGAGCCUAGGUCGGAUUAGCUAGUUGGUGAGGUAAAGGCUCACCAAGGCGACGAUCCGUAACUGGUCUGAGAGGAUGAUCAGUCACACUGGAACUGAGACACGGUCCAGACUCCUACGGGAGGCAGCAGUGGGGAAUAUUGGACAAUGGGCGAAAGCCUGAUCCAGCCAUGCCGCGUGUGUGAAGAAGGUCUUCGGAUUGUAAAGCACUUUAAGUUGGGAGGAAGGGCUGUAGGCUAAUAUCCUGCAGUUUUGACGUUACCGACAGAAUAAGCACCGGCUAACUUCGUGCCAGCCGCCGCCGUAA